GAAGAAUCUGAAACGUUGUCACGAUUUAAUAAGACAAAAGCAGAUAGAUCACUUAUCUAGUUUAUUCCGACAUAAGGCAUAGCCAUGUAUAAACUGACUGCCUGCCUUCUAGCUGUCCUGAUUUUUGGUAAGAAUAUAUUUACUAAUGAAUAACUUAUUUAGAUAUGAUAUGUAUAUGAUACACCUAAGAAUGAAUUUCUUUUAUUAUAAUUAUUUAGACAAUAAGUUGACUUUUAAAAACACAGAAUGAGACUAUCAAUUGUAUAGGCUUAACUUUAACUGAAAUUCUUUUAUAAAUCAAAGGGUUAGGCUCUACUGAAUUCAAGAAUAUGGGCGAAAAAUACCAGAAUGGCAUUUACACUCAUAGAUUGAUAAUGAACUGACAACAGUAUGGCUUAAAUAAAGGAAAAGACGAACAGACAAACAAUAGUACACAAGACACAACAUAGAAAACUAAAGACUAAGCAAAACAAUUGGACCUUAUCCUUCUCAUUUUGUAAAAUUAUAAGCAUUUCAACUCAUUGAGACAUAUAUAUAUAUAAAAUCUGUUUAUCUUUUCUGAACGAACGUUGAUAUUAAGAUCCAUUUUGUUACAUCUUGUGAUCAAUUUUAUUUGGCAAUCGCCAAUGGCAGUCAACAGGGUUAAAGAACAUCAGUUGUUCGACCUGUUAGUCAAAUGCGUCUUGUUUAAAUAUACUUUUCACUUUUUUGGUCUUUUGGAAAAUGUUGUUUGUGCUGUUUUUAGACCCUUCUACAACGAAAUUUGUUCUACGUGUACACGUAUAAAAAUUGCGGUUUUUAUCCAACGCAAUCAUAAGUUUGAACGUAGUUUUCAAUUUAGACUCGUAUAUAUAUAUAUAUGUGAAGCCCAGGUGGUCGUGUGGUCUAGCGGAACAGCUACAGUGCAGGCGAUUUGGUGUCACGAUAUCUCAGUAGCAUGGGUUCGAAUCCCGGCGAGGGAAGAACAAAAAAUUUGCGAAAGCAAAUUUACAGAUCUAACAUUGUUGGGUUGAUGUUUAGACGAGUUGUAUAUACAAAAUGUACACAGCCAUGUAUCACUAUCAUUGCUGGUGAUCCGAUGGAUACAUCUGUUGUAGAGUUGUCACUGACUCAGACGUACUUAUUAAUAUAAUUAUUUUCUGUGACUGUAUCUUGCAUUAAUUUGUAGAAUCCUUUACUAUAGAUAAUUGAACUGAUCUAUAACAAUAACAUCUCCAUGCCUUAUAUAUCAUGUACUGUAAUACGCUGCUAGAUUAAAACUGACGAGGAUAGGUAACACACGGACACUGAAAGCUUUAUUAUGUGUGAAGCCCAGGUGGUCGAGUGGUCUAGCGGAACGGCUACAGUGCAGGCGAUUUGGUGUCACGAUAUCUCAGUAAAUUGGGUUCGAAUCCCGGCGAGGGAAGAACACAAAUUUUGCGAAAGCAAAUUUACAGAUCUAACAUUAUUGGGUUGAUGUGUAGACGAGUUGUAUAUAUAUAUAUAUAUAUGAUAUCCUCUUUAAUACCAAUUUAGGUUUUCUUAUAAACACUUCCAGUUUUUAUUGUCAAAAACAUUUUACAGUGAUGUAGGCCCCUUUUUCGAACUUUUGACUACCAUCACUGUGUUUUUGCAAAUGCUGAUGGACAAUCAUCAGUCCAUUAGGCUACCAUCUAACGAGUAUUCAGUAUUUCAAUACUGCCAUUAUUUGAACUAUGCAUUUGUUUGUAAAAAAAAUUAAACUGAGGUUUUAACAACCUGAACCUAGGCUAAAAACUAUCUACCUCAGAUUAAGUUGAGCUUCAGCGAAGUUUGGCUGUUUUAUGUUGUUUUGCUAAUAAAUGCUCACAAAACUUGUUUUGUUUUCCGAACUUAGUUGGUACAGCUUCCGGUAGACUAUUAGUCCUCGAUUGUAAUAUUAACCCCGUUGUAGUGCCUCAGUACAGGAAUGAUUAACACGGUACAUUUUUUUUGUACCUUUCCAGGGUUAAGUUCAAUAUUGUAGCAGCUACGUAGCUGCUAUCAAUAUCUAUGUAACAACUAGUAUACAGCUACACGUUCAAUAGUCAAAAUAUACGUAGCGCUACGUAACAGCUACGAUAUUGAACGCAGCCCAGUUCAUAAAAUCAUUAUUUGAUCUAAAACUAAAGUUGAAAUUACCAUGCGAAGUGAAUUUAACACGAUUCUAAUUGUUCUUUUCAUGUCCGUUUAGUUCUUUUUUUGCAAGUGUAUAAUUAAUGAAUAGAAAGAGAUGUAUAUCACAUUACAAUGAUUACAUAUACAUUAUAAUAUACUAUUGACUACAUAUAUAACAUGAUAAAUUUUCUAGUAUCGAACGAAUAUUUAUAUAGAUUGUAUGGCUACCACCGAUACUUUCUAAUAAGACCUUUACAAAAUCAUUAUUUUUAUUGAUCUUUAGUUUACUCCUCACGAAGAAAAACUGAAUGAUUAAUUUUAAAAAUCUUAUGUUUUUUUAAUUUUAUUUUUUAAAUAAGGGUAUACCGAACAUAACAAUAAAUUGAAUUUAAAAAUGAUUUUAAAUAUUUGUGUAGGUCUCGUCAAUGGAGAAGGUUGUACGACUAUUGCAGACUGUGCUCACACCAGUUGUGACAGUGAAUCAACAUUGCAGUGCGAUAGCCAGAACGGAAUCUGUGUGUGUGAAUUAAACGACUCACGUAAGUAGUCAUGAGUUAGAUGGACUUAUUGUUUUAAAACUAAUCCAUGGUUGACACGUUUAUUACAUCAGAAAAAGCAACAUUGAAUUUGGAUAAAUAAUUUAGUAUCAUUGAAAUUUUCUGUUAAGGCGAUGCCAAAGUUAUCAGAGAGACAUUUCAACAACGUCAAAAAUAAACACCAUGGCUGAAAAGAAGGCAAACAAACAAUCAAUAGUUUACACAACACAUAUAGAAAACUUAAGACUGAGCAACACGAACCUCAUCUUAAACUAUGUAAUCAUCAUAUAUAGUUAAAAGAAUCGAUAUUUAUGCAUUAUUUGCCUCUGAGCGUUUUGAAUUUUAUUUUGUAUUUUUUGUUGAUAAAAAAAAGAAGGAAUACACAGCAACGCCGAUAGAUAAACAUAAUGUUGAUUGUUGUAGAAUGUUCCAGUAAACAGGAAUGCCUAGAUACCCAGGACUGGUGGUGCCCCGAUCGUUUGAGGCAUUGUUUUGAUGGCAAAUGUGUUUGUCAGUAUAUUCCCGCAUAACUUAUGUGAAUAAUGUAAGUGACACUUUUGGUUUUUGUCAGUACAAUUCUGCAUUACUGGUGUAAAUUAUAAUUAUCCGAAAUAAUUAAUGUCAAUUACUCAGGUUACUCCUCUGAUAAAGGACUUUCCGUUAAAAUAAUUAUUUGAAAGUAACUGUCAAUUCAAUAGGUUUAUACGAUUGUAAGUAUGGCAAACCAACACAAGUGUAUGUGUUUUUAGAAAAUAAAUAACAUCAGCUGUCUAAAUAUUAUAAAAUUUGUUGGUCAUUUGACUGUGAGAAAUAUGCAGUUGAGCAUCUAAUAAAACGCAGGUACUAUCCAGUCCUCUUUUCUCUUGUUAUGACAUCAUCGAAUGCGAUAACAGGACUGUCUUUUACUUGCCAUGAGCAACACGGCGGAUUACCGGUGCUCAAGAAGGUUAAGAUGGCCCCUUUUCUUAGCACCUUAGUCGUUUCGUCUGUUUCUCAUAUCCAGAAAUCAACGCCACUUUGCUUAUUUGAAUAUUAUACUAAAGAAAUCGGAUACGGGUCACGGAAAUUACAUUAAAAUGAUAGGGAAUUUUGAAAAAAUGUCUGUUUUAAUUUUAAUUUAAGUGAUAGACAGGUUGCCGGUGCAGAAAAUGAAUAUACACAACAAUAUACACCAUUUAAACGAAACAUAAUGACUGUUGUUGCAAAAAUACAGGUUCCUGAGCUAUUUUAAAAAUCGAAGCGAGAGGCUUUUAACAUUGCAGUGUAAAAUACAGGCUAAAAUGGCUGAAACGUCAAAUUUUCAAACUUCGUGUUUAAAAUUGGCUUACAAGGUCAUUACAAAAACAGGUUGCCGGGGUGAAAUAUGAAACUUGAAUUUCCAAAGAAUAAGCAAGUCCAAACAUUGUGUGUGUAGUCGUUGAACUCUAGGUUCCCACGUAAAAUUAAAAUGUCACUAUUUCAAGAAGAAUAAACUCACGAAAGCACGAAAAAUUCACUGAAUUCGAGUUCAUUGUUUUGAUUUUGACCGCCUGACAACUUUACGGAAAUAUCAAAGUGAUUGUAAAAUAAGGACUCUGUGACGGGCAACUUAUAAUAUCCGUGUUUUAAAGAUUUUAAUGAUAUCAAGCCUAUCAAGCCAGUCCAGUUCAAAGUACUAUCACGUGGUACAAUUCUCAUUUACAUAUUAUGAAUAUUAAUUAGCAAAACCACUACUAAUUUCUGGCUAUGUAUUUAACAGUUAAAAUAAUUGGAAUUGCAAUUGAACAAAAGUAAAAUCACAAAAAUACUGAACUCCGAUAAAGAUUAAAAAAGACGUCUCUAAUCAAAGGCAAAAUCAAAAGCUCAAAUACAACAAACUGUCAUAUCCCUGACUUGGUACAGGCCUCUGAAUAUCCUUUGUAAAAGCAAGCAUUCGAAACUAAAUCGACGCAUCUGGGCUGUUGCAUUAUCGAGGACUCAAUUUUUUAAUGAUCUUAUUGGUUUAGACGUCAUUUAAUCAUAUUCUUAGGGUGCAUAUAUUUACGAAUUAAAUAACAAGAGAUUUUCGAAAAUUUACCAUUUGUUAGAAAAAUACAUGAAAAGCUAAAUAUGUACCCUUUGAAAAAUGUACUCAAUCACGAUUUAGAACUGCACUAAUUUGUUGUCAUAUUAUAUAUUUGUCACGAAACAAAGCCAGUUAUAACGUUGACAUAUUGAUUUCAUUUAUAACAGGUAUGUGGUGUUGUUGUUUGGUGGCAAAUAUCAAACAAUAUCAUCUCAGAGGUGGUUCCAUGUAAAAAUGAAUCUGACAUUGUAAUUACCCAUUAAACUAAAUAUCAAACAGUGAUAAUGUUUGAUAAGUUUGCCUGCUUGAUUAGCUAAUAACUAGAAUGAAGCAAAAUUAAGGGAAUGUUUUUCCAUAUAAUAAUCGUGAAUACUAAACAAACUUUUCAAUAAUGUAUGUUGUCUAUCAUAAGAAAUUAUAAAUCCUAAGAAUAAAUAUAUAUCAUGUUGUUAACUAACGUUGUCACUGAAAUAAAAUGUCACUAAUUUAUACCUUCUUUUUCUUUUUAGAAAACAGACAUGGGCAGUUUACAUAUAAUGAAAUGAGAAAUAAAUCUUAUUUUAUUGUGAGCAAUUUAAUCCUUUAAAUUCUGAAUUAAUUGGUUUCAUA
RNAcentral lists this long non-coding RNA (5304 nucleotides) under Mytilus galloprovincialis (Mediterranean mussel). The record is from RNAcentral. Lineage: Eukaryota; Metazoa; Mollusca; Bivalvia; Mytilida; Mytilidae.